Polypterus senegalus (gray bichir) is the source of this 133-nucleotide long non-coding RNA. RefSeq lists it as uncharacterized. The transcript is spliced from 3 exons. Lineage: Eukaryota; Metazoa; Chordata; Cladistia; Polypteriformes; Polypteridae. The record is from RefSeq and is a predicted model, not a curated record.
UUCCUUUUUGGCCUUAAUUCUAAGCGGUAUGCGUGGAGACAACCAGGCACUGCUCAUCACUUGUCCAAUACAGUCCCCACAGUGAAGCAUGGCGGUGGCAGCAUCAUGCUGUGGGGUGUUUUUCAGCUGCAGG